This 415-nucleotide ribosomal RNA is filed under the name uncultured crenarchaeote. RNAcentral's name for it is "partial 16S ribosomal RNA". It matches the Rfam family "Archaeal small subunit ribosomal RNA", at positions 330 to 747 of the family's 1478-position model. Lineage: Archaea; Thermoproteati; Thermoproteota. The record is from RNAcentral.
GCGCACCAGUUGCGAAAACUUGUCAAUGCACGAAAGUGUGAACGGGCUACCCCGAGUGCCGUCCGCUGAGGAUGGCUUUUCUCUGCUGUAAGAAGUCAGAGGAAUAAGGAGAGGGCAAGUCUGGUGUCAGCCGCCGCGGUAAUACCAGCUCUCCGAGUGGUAGGGAUGAUUAUUGGGCUUAAAGCGUCCGUAGCUGGCCUUUCAAGUCUCUUGUUAAAUCCAGCGAUUCAAUCAUUGGACUGCGGGAGAUACUGUUAGGCUAGGGGGCGGGAGAAGCCGACGGUAUUCCCGGGGUAGGGGUGAAAUCCCAUAAUCCCGGGAGGACCACCAGUGGCGAAGGCUGUUGGCUAGAACGCGCUCGACGGUGAGGGACGAAAGCUGGGGGAGCGAACCGGAUUAGAUACCCGUGUAGUCC